Molecule: long non-coding RNA, 448 nt
Organism: Zonotrichia leucophrys gambelii
Lineage: Eukaryota; Metazoa; Chordata; Aves; Passeriformes; Passerellidae
Exons: 4
Source: RefSeq, a predicted model, not a curated record
CUCAAAGGCAGCUCAGCCCAACACAAGGUCACAGACAACCAGUUGCGGGGUCAAGGUCCAAGCUGAGAAAAUAAAAUGUGAUCUAUGUGAAAAGCCAGGCAAACAAAUUGUUAUGUGGAUCAGGACUUGCUGGCUCUGGUGCAAGAAGAGAGACAGGAGCUAAUGCCAUACCCUUAAGAAGCACUGCCAGCCGGGAGUUGUUCUGAGUCCUGCCUGUUACUGGAUGCCCUUGGAAUUAGAUGCUAAAAUAUUGGGCUGUAAUAGCCUUGCUAGAUAUCUGGAAUCCUGCAGAUUAUAUCUCUAGUUUUCUGAAAUAGCCAUUUUUGCUCACCUAGGUUCAAACUGAGGACAGCAAAGCUUUACAGCAGCAGCAGCAAAUGUAAUGUACCUGGAUCUCAAGUUCCAAGCACUACCACACUGCUAAUAGCUACAGCAUCAGUGGAAAAUA